Molecule: unclassified non-coding RNA, 262 nt
Filed under: Hevea brasiliensis (rubber tree)
Lineage: Eukaryota; Viridiplantae; Streptophyta; Magnoliopsida; Malpighiales; Euphorbiaceae
Source: RNAcentral
UAUUCCUGAGUGGUUAUCUGGACCUUUUCCAUAGUUUCUUCUCUUUUCUUUUCCUUUUCUCCUUUUACCUCCUGACAUCAAAUGUUGAAUUAAAAUCGUGGUUGUGCCCAUCCUUGAAGGAUGAUGACAACAAGUGUUAAGAUCAAGGAAUUCCAUAAUUGUUUGAAGUCAAUGGUUUGCAGGCUAGUCAUUUCUAAGAAGAUUAGGUCUUUUUGCUUUCAUUUUUUUUGGAAUUAUGUAAAAUCAUUAUGAAGUACAGGCG